CGCGCAGGCGGCCUGUCGCGUGUCUGGUGAAAGCUCUCGGCUUAACCGGGAGAGGUCCAGGCAAACGGGCAGGCUUGAGCAUCGGAGAGGGGCAUGGAACUCCGGGUGGAGCGGUGAAAUGCGUAGAGAUCCGGAAGAACACCAAUGGCGAAGGCAGUGCCCUGGCCGACUGCUGACGCUCAGGCGCGAAAGCGUGGGGAGCGAACA
RNAcentral lists this ribosomal RNA (207 nucleotides) under uncultured bacterium. RNAcentral describes it as "partial 16S ribosomal RNA". It matches the Rfam family "Bacterial small subunit ribosomal RNA", at positions 568 to 774 of the family's 1533-position model. The record is from RNAcentral.